AGUGACUGCACCUGGGUAUUCCUCUGGGGUGAUGGGGCAACACGCUGUGGGGACUUGAGGGGCAGAGGCCAGCAGCGCUCUGCCCUGAUGCCUGCACUUCUGCUGGGGAGAGGGGGUUGCAGACCAGUCCUGUAACAAGGGGGUCGGUAGGGCAGAGGCCAGCGGCGCUCUGCCCUGAUGUCAGCUCUUCCGCUGGGGUAGCCGGCAGAAU
This is a non-coding RNA of Pelobates cultripes (western spadefoot toad), 211 nucleotides long. The record is from the annotation of a GenBank genome assembly. NCBI's taxonomy places the organism in Eukaryota, Metazoa, Chordata, Amphibia, Anura, Pelobatidae.